This is a long non-coding RNA of Calidris pugnax (ruff), 4847 nucleotides long. RefSeq lists it as uncharacterized. The transcript has 3 exons. The record is from RefSeq and is a predicted model, not a curated record. Lineage: Eukaryota; Metazoa; Chordata; Aves; Charadriiformes; Scolopacidae.
GUCUUACUUGUUUUUUGGAUCUCUGGUGCUCUGACAGCUCCCAGCCUCGCACCGAACCCCAGGGCCAGCCUGGCAGGGUGGGCACUUGCCCCCCGAGCCCCUUUCUGAGCGUGCCUGUGGUGCCCUCACCCCACGUUGGCUGCAUGACACAGGCUCUCUGUGACUCAGGAGUCUGAAUGUUACUUCAUAUGGCAACAGCCAUGUUUUGUUUCUUUCUUUCUUUAUUUUUAAUAGGCACUUUGAUGGGGGGGGUUGGAGGAGGGAGAGUUUAAAUAGAGUUUGCAAGGUUAUUCCUUGCCUGAGGCUGAGCUGUGCGCAAUCGUCACGUCUAACUGGGAUUUUUCCGUUUGUCUUUGGGCUCCUGUUGCUGAGCCGGGGUGACCUUGGCAGCACUGGCUGCAGCAGCUCUCCCUUGGCUACCCCAGUUCUGCUUCCCCAACCCAUUGCUGCCAAAGUGCCACCGAGGACUCCAGCAGAAACCAGUGCUGCCCGGCCAGUAGGUCCCAUGCACCCCACACACCCCAGCAGACGAGCUGCCUGGUUACGAGGUGACAGCAUCAGAGCUCCUUCCUGGUGGGAUGGUUGGUCCUGUCUUCAUCUCAUAGGUCACAUGGGUACUUGAGAGGAGUCUUCACCUCUGCUGGUCAUCAAACCUUGGUCAAAACGCAGCGCAGCACACGGAGCAACUGGGAAGAGUUUGAUCCAUGCACACUUGGGAAAUGUGAGUGCGUACGGGCUGCGCUGGCAAGGGAACAACUCAGGAGGCAACAGGCUCAGCAUCACUGCAGCUGCAGGAGGGGUGAGAGAGCGUCUGUGCUGAGCAGAGAUAAAGGACAGAUCCAUCACUGGCAGCUCUGUGCUGAGCCCCCACCAGCUUGGAGUUUGCAUUUCCAGGCUCAGAGACACAAUCAUUAGUAGACAAACUGGUCAGAUGCUUCGUCUGGGAAGUCAUUUUAAGUUCUUACUUGCUUUUUUUUUCUUUUUCUCUUCUCUCCUAAACCAGCAACAUCUCCUUGAGCUUUUGAAGCUAAAGACAGCACCCGAGCAGUACUCACCCCUUCCCUGCCACACAGAUCAGCUGGUUUGGUUUUGGGGGUCUGUUUGUAGCAUCACCAAACCCGAGGCUGGAUCUGGCCAGCCACAAAUGUGGUGCUGGACACCAAGUUGGUGACAGAUGCUCAAGUUCUCAUGCUCAUAAAUUAUGUAGGGCUGCAACCACCUUCCAGGCUAUGAAGCAUCUGCUUCAGCUGCCAUCCCUCAGCCCCAGAGACCUUCUUUCCAGCACAGCGUGGGCAGAACCACGUGGUCUGGAUAUCCCAAACCUAAUGCAUGGAGCCAGCCAUGACAGGGCACAGGCUCUUGCUUGCAGUAACACCUCCAAACAGCUGUCCCACCUCUCACCCACCCCAUUCUUCUUGUAUCCAACCGUCUCCAUUGGCAAAGCAUGCCACGACAAUUCUCAUGUGAGAAGAAGGUUUCUAACCAUGGGGGUUGUGCAACCCUGGAGUUGGCUUCCACAGGAGAAGUCACACUGAGAAUUUUAAAAUGGAAGAUGAUGUUUUUCUGAAGGGGACAAUAGGACAUAUUGUUCAGGAGAUCGUGGCCAGGGGAUUCUUCCAGUCCUCCAAGUUCCUGCUCCUACAGGGACCUUCUAAAAUCUCAGAGAGACAUUUGUGGUGGAGGUAAAAGCAUCUCUCACAAACCAUUUCUGGCAACAUGAAAGUUUCUAACACAGAGGCUUUUUGCAGCACCAUUUGGGGCUCUGGAUCUUUUCGUUCACCGACCACCACCAAACAAACGGAAAUGUAUUACACAAGUCCCAGAUGGCAUCUUUUUAACCAAAAUAACCAGAAGGAAAAAAAUCCAAAUCCUAUCUUCUUUUCCAUGUGCCUGUAUUUUGUUUACAUGAAAACUGCUCCAAAAUACAAAGUCACCAGGGUCUAAGCUAAACAUUAUUCAUUCCUGGAGCUGUAAUUAGGGGGAAAUGAUUGCCUGACCCCACAAAAUUACAUCAGCAGUGCAUGGACGCUUGCGUGUUCAUGGGAAAUGGCACUUCCUGCAGCACUGGAUUAAUCGAGAAGUGUCUCAACGAGAAGGUUCGGUUUCUUCCUCAAUCCUCUGUAUCAGUUACCCCACAGGAGGGUGAAACAGCAUCUGUGCUAACGAGAGAUAAGCAGAAGAUCCAACGCACACAGCGCUGGGCUGAGAUGCUCGUCCCAGGUCCCAGAGGGGCCCCGUUUCACAUUUCCAGACUCGUCCCUCUGCAAAUGGCAGGGAAUUAGAUCAACCUUGAAAACUCGACUCACGGCAGCUCGAAUCUGCAAGCAGAAAGCAUUAAACUCGAGUCCCUUUCCUGUCCAGGGAUGAUAAAUUCCUGUUCGAUUUAAGAGCAUGACCUCGUUGUGGGCUGUCUGCAAGCGCCCUGCGCCGCAGCAGACGCUAAGUAUAGCCUUAGUAAAAGCAGUGUGGAGGUAUUUGUUUUCAAGACUAACACGUGCAUCAACCAGAACCUUUCUUGUGAGGGACAUAAGCAAACCCCAGGUGGUUCGGGCUGACAUGUAGCUGCUAGAAAUGCAAAUUGCUAGUGCCGGCGUGGUGCAGGGAAUGCAUUCCCAAGGAAAGGCUUCAGCGCCCGGUGCAGGGUCAGGUCACAGCUGGGAGGAGCAGCCUGACUCAGCAGAAGGCUCUUUAGGAUGAACAAAAACCAAAUUUGCAGUAAAGCGGGAGGUGAGCAGAGGUCAGGCAGACAGAUCUGUGCUCUGAUCGCUCUGGGCUGUGCCUUUCAGUGCUGCUGAGGCAGAGGAACAAGCCCGGCCAGGGACUGCUGCACCUCGCAUGACUUUUGCCAACAGCCCCAGCAGAAACGUUGCAAAAUGGAUUUCUUCCAGCCUUUUCCCAGCGUAAGAUCUGGCAGAGAACAAGCCAUCUUCUCUGGAUAGCAGCAAACCCCCUAGGAUCCCUGCUCUGCUCAUGCUGUACGGAGUUCCAGAAAAAAAAGGGGGAAGAGAAAAGAAAGGACCAAAGCUGCCGGGCUGCUCCCGUGCAGCCGGAGGAUCCCGGGAGCGCUGAGCUGGCAUGGGGAAGAUGCCAAUGCUCCACGCUCACUGCGGCCUGACAGCUCUUGCUCUCCAAAGCGAUGACACCAUCUCCUGCCCAGGGCACUCACCAAACGGCUGGCCCAACAGCAGGGUUUUACGAGGCUCCAACUACAGUGUCCCAAGGAGAAAAGCAAACGGGCUCCUGGCUGGGCCAUGAGGAUGACUUUUGAAGCCAGUGUUAAACCCUGUGCAGCUCAGCACAGCACCACGUGGGCAGCGGUGCAUACGGAGGGCAGCAGCCCAUCCCUGUGCCCCCUGGGAUCAAAGCACUCAUCCCUGGCAGGGCUGGGGUUGGAGCAGCUGGAGAUGCCUGCAGCCUGUGCUUGAAGGGAGACAGGUACUGGCCUAAAGCAUCCGGGAUUCCCUGGCAGAGCAACACCGACCAUCACAGCAGUAGCCCCUCUAGGGCUUCUGGGUCCUGUCUGAGCCAGCGGGAGGCUGCAGACAGUGAUUUAGCGGGAGCCAGCCCCCCUCAGACCAGGCUUUGCCACCUGACACAGCUCUGCCCCAUGACCCCAAGCUGUGGCCAUUCCCUGCUCGCCAUCCAUCAGCCCCAGCACCUGCAACGUCUUUGCUGAUGUGCUCCCCUCCCAGUCCUUCUCCCAUCACCAGACAGCGGGUCCUCAUCGUGCAGCUCUAUGAUCACAGAUCAGUUUUCAUUCAAACACAACCCCCCCCAUCCAUGGCUGCUCCACCCCAACCACCUGAUCAUGCAAUCCCACAGCGUGCUCCCAUCCUGAGGUCUCUCACCAUCCUGUCCCCUAAUUGCUGUCCCCAUCCUGUCCUCACCUUCACCCCUUACCCCAAGCAGGCAAUGGCCCACCUUAAGAAGGCUGAGCUCAAGGGGCUCCACAGCAGAACUGCACAGCUGGAGAGGAAACCAAAGAUGGAGGGGGAGCUGGGGAGAGGUUUGAUUCUUGACCUGUGCCUGUUUCUUCCAUCAUAUCUGGGAUACAGCCUGGACUGUGAGGAGGAGGAGGGAGGAAGGGGGAAGAUGGGCAAUGACAUUUACACAUCCCUCUUCUUCCACUAGUUCAUGCUGAGAGCAAGUCAAUCACCCCCUGUACCACUGGCUUACCUAUCCCUGGGAUGCUCCUGAGACUCCAAGAAGCUUGGGAAGGUCAAGGAAUACUGAAAUAUAUUACCGUGUUGAGGAGGGAGUAUCGUCAGAAUAAGUUAAUGGUUUGUACUGUGUUUUGGCACCACGGCCCCGAGUACAGCAGGAUCUUCCAUCAUGGGGGAGCUGCCAAGAUCUUCACAUCCUGGCUUUCCUCCUGACUUUAUAGCUUGUUACUGAGGUUCCCAGAUUCCACCACGUGCAAUGGUAAUCCUGGGAAAUUUGUCAUCGCCACAAUUGCAUCCGAAAGCAGGGAUGUCAUUUAGCCAAGGUAUAUUGAGUUUCUAACAGGGAGAAAACAUCAACCCUUGGCAACCGCUGGAUCACCAUUUGGAUAAUAAGUAUCAAGAGAGUGUAUGUCUGUGAUCCAAAUCUAAAAUGUUUUUCACUGAGACGCGCAAAAGGCAAUAUCACAUUUGUCCCUUGCAUCUACAAAGGAUGAGGCAAGGGGAUAGGAGUGAUGCAGAGCAAGGGACUGAACCUCCCAUGCUGAGGCAGUGACAUGGACCAGAAAUCACUGACUGAGAUGAGCCUGGAAGGGAGGUCAAGCAUAUUUUGGCAUCUCCUGUGCUACAAGUGCUUUCAGUCUUUCCCUGGGAGCGUGAAAUGGCAAGGCACUCCUUCCUUCCCCC